Molecule: ribosomal RNA, 251 nt
Filed under: uncultured Treponema sp.
Lineage: Bacteria; Pseudomonadati; Spirochaetota; Spirochaetia; Treponematales; Treponemataceae
Description: partial 16S ribosomal RNA
Rfam family: Bacterial small subunit ribosomal RNA
Source: RNAcentral
GUGGCGGACUGGUGAGGAACACGUGGGUAAUCUACCCUUAAGAUGGGGAUAGCUGCUAGAAAUAGCAGGUAAUACCGAAUACACUCAAGACUUCAUAAGGAGUUUUGAGGAAAGGAAGCUACGGCUUCGCUUGAGGAUGAGCUUGCGUCCCAUUAGCUUGUUGGUGAGGUAACGGCCCACCAAGGCGACGAUGGGUAUCCGGCCUGAGAGGGUGAACGGACACAUUGGGACUGAGAUACGGCCCAAACUCC